Rhipicephalus sanguineus (brown dog tick) is the source of this 358-nucleotide long non-coding RNA. RefSeq lists it as uncharacterized. The record is from RefSeq and is a predicted model, not a curated record. NCBI's taxonomy places the organism in Eukaryota, Metazoa, Arthropoda, Arachnida, Ixodida, Ixodidae. The transcript has 3 exons.
GAAACUGCAAGAAAUUGGGAAAGCAGACGAUGUUUUUGGCAUUCGUUCUACUUCUUGUAUCCCAGCGUUCGUUAACGAAAAUUCCGUCACUACGCUUUGAACAUGGUCGCUGUAUUUACGACAAUUACUCACUGAGCGAAGGAGGCUACUUGCGCCUUGCGAGUCCUUGUGUGAGGUUGAUUUGUCGGAACUACCACAGGGAACUAAGAGUCAAUGGAUGUCCUCCACCUCCGAACUCAAGCGAUCCAGAUGAUCCUAAAUAUGCAAUGUACUGGCCUUAUUGCUGCAAUAGCAGCGCCGCGUAACUCGCAAUAACUUGAGCCAUCUGCGUGAAAUACGCAUAAAUUUUUAUAACCCA